RNAcentral lists this ribosomal RNA (253 nucleotides) under uncultured bacterium. RNAcentral describes it as "partial 16S ribosomal RNA". It matches the Rfam family "Bacterial small subunit ribosomal RNA", at positions 524 to 776 of the family's 1533-position model. The record is from RNAcentral.
UACGGGGGGGGCAAGCGUUGUUCGGAAUUACUGGGCGUAAAGCGCGCGCAGGCGGGCUGGUCAGUCUGGGGUGAAAUCUCACGGCUCAACCGUGAGAGGUCCCUGGAUACUGCUAGCCUUGAGGGGCUCAGAGGAGAGUGGAAUUCACGGUGUAGCAGUGAAAUGCGUAGAUAUCGUGAGGAAGACCAGUUGCGAAGGCGGAUCUCUGGGCAGUUCCUGACACUGAGGCACGAAGGCCAGGGGAGCAAACGGG